This 36701-nucleotide long non-coding RNA is filed under the name Lactuca sativa (garden lettuce). RNAcentral describes it as "long non-coding RNA (LSAT_LNC003191)". The record is from RNAcentral. Lineage: Eukaryota; Viridiplantae; Streptophyta; Magnoliopsida; Asterales; Asteraceae.
UAGAACUAGACUCUUCAUUUUUGUAACCUUUGCCAAUUUUUAUGAGUUUUAUGAUUCUUAAAUGUGACUUUUCAUAUAACUUGAGGACAAGUUACAAAAACACAUUUUAGAAUCAAUUCUUAGAUUAAUUUGGAUUAAAACCAACUAUCACAUAAUUUUAUUCAUUAAUCUAAAUUCACUCAUAAAACAAGGUAACACAAAAAACUUUUGGUGAUCCAUAACUUAUUCUUAAGUUAUGGAAUCCUUUAAAACAUUAACACCAAAUUUUGUAACUCCAAAAAAACUUUGAAUCAAUUUUUUUUUUAAAACCUUUUCAUAUCCAUAACUUAUGGAGGUUUCAAAAAAUAAAACUCUUUAGAUCAAACUUUUAAAACUAAUAAAAUAAUCAUAUUAUUUUAUCUUUUAUUAAAUUUGACCUAAUUCAACUCAUAAAGCAAAUUAUUCAAAUUUUACAAAUAAUUAGUUUUUCACAAGAACAAGUAAUUAUCUUAAAAUUUGACAAACUUCAUGUUUUUUUUUUUUUUUUUUUUCAACUUUGAAAAUAAAAUAUUUGCAUCAAUAUAACAGAAAACAACCCGUGGCUCUGAUACCACUGUUGGGUUUUGAGCAUUCUAACACUUCCUAAGUGUACAUGCAACCCUAAAUACCUUGGAUCUAUGUUUUCUCUAUUAUACAUGCAAAUAAGAACAUCCAAGGUAUUAUCCUAAUCUAGCAUACAAAAGUGAAGAGUGUAACAAGAUAGAAUACAUACCUCUUUGAUGUAGAAAGUCUUCAUGAAGCUUGAGUGCCUAGCCCCAAUAGUGUGGAAGCCUCAAAUGGAAUCACAAUCACCAAAACACUUAGAAUAACUUGAGAGAAUUCUACACUUCAUGAAAUCGGCUAGCCCUUUUACUUCACACCCUAGUUCCCGAUUUGGUCAUGAAUAAGAUGCUUAUAUAGUUAGGGUUACACCAUGUAAACCCUAAUUGACAUGGCCUUUAAUUUCCAUGAUCCAUGGGUACAAAUACACCAUGGAGCAUCCAUGGACCAUCCUAUGGGUUUUAGCCCAACUUGAUUAUCCAUGGAGCAUUAGCCCACUAUACAAGUAUGGAUGAUUUACACAAUCAACCCAUAUAUUUAAUUAGUCUUCUUUUGAUCACUUAAUUAAUCCUAGAUUAAUUCUUGAUCAAUACUAAUUAAAUAAUCUUAUUAUUCUUAUUAUUAAUAUACUAGAACUUAUAAUAUAUUAAUAACCAUAAGUGUCUUAUUUCUCUCAUUAUAGUCUAUCCAAGUGCAUGAUGGUAUGCAACCCAAAUGGACCAUGUCGGGUCGGGUCAAGUCUUACCAAUUAUAGUUAUGGACUUAGACAAUAAUCCAACAAUGGCUUCACCCGCAAACUUACAACACUUUAACACUAUCUGGCUGCUAGUGAAUGCUAUGGGUACACCCGCAGACUUACAACACUCUAACACUAUCUGGCUGCUAGUGAAUGCUACGGGUACACCCACAGACUUUUAACACUCUGACACUAUCUGGCUGCUAGUGAAAGCUACGGCUACACCCGCAGACUUACAACACUCCAUAUUGGAUCGACCACGCGCUUGACCUGCAUUCAGCUGAAUUCAUGCCCUGACUGGAAUCCCCAACCUGAUUCCCUAAGGCUUGAUAGCAAACAUUACGAGAACACGAUCUCCUUAUUGGGAAGUUUUUCUGAACUUCCAUCUCACACUCUCUUCAAAUCAUACAACCGCUUGGGCUUUCUUCCUUCCUGAAAAUGAUGCAAAACUUAUCCUAUCUUCAUAACUGCUCUUGCUUCAGAAUCCUGGGUGAUUCUCCCCCACUUUGAUUCAGCUAAUGCUCUACAACACUCAAAACUGAAAAAAUUCUCAAUUCUUCCUACCCUCCCAUGACCAAUCUACUAGAACUCACGCUUAUCCUUGCUAGGGUUUCGACACCAGCUAACCCAAAAGAUCAUACAACUUCUAAAAAAAUCCGAAUAAAUCUUUGGUAAUAACCCGCUAACCCAGGAAGCUCUGAAUCUCAAUUGGAGGCCUCGGAAUCUCCCACUGCAUCACGACCUCUAUCUUGGCCAGAACGACUAGAAUACCCUUCUGAUUGACAAGGUGCACAAGAAAUUGCACCUUGCGCAACCAGAGCUCACAUUUGGAGUACCUUGCAAAAGGACACUCCCUCCUCAAAGUCUCUAGCUCCUCCCUCAGGUGCUUCUCAUGAUGCUCCUCAGUCUUGGAAUAAACCAAGAUGACAUUGUACUCUCCCAAUCUUGCAAUUUUGGAAAUGCUCUAUCACUACUCGCUAAUGUUUCUCAGUAUGCAAUUGGCAUAUGACAUCUCUUGAAAAAAUAAUUUAUGCCCAAACUGAGGAUAACUCAGGGCUACACUUACUCAAACCCUUGAAACGAAAGACUCCAUUGUGUAGUUUCCCGCAUGUGCUGUACUGAAUCUAACCCUGCUGGUCCUUCAUAAGCUUAUCCAAAAUCUAGGGUCUUCUCCUGAGACACCUGUAUAUAAGCAAAUGAUCUAAUUCCCUCUAACCAAUGUGCUCCAAGUCCAUAUCUCGUUCUCAAGAUUUAGAAGUCAUAUCAUUCAGGGUCUUGCACCCCGAGAUACUCACGAUCUCCCUGCUAUCAUUCUAUAGUAUGUUCUGAUAAAUUACCUUCUUCAUUUCUUCAUCUGCUGCAUACUGUGGUACCAUAUAACUCUGAAAUCCCGAAACAUCAGCGUACGAGUUCCUAUCAUGACUGUAACCUCAGUGCAGAAUGCACUCGGCCUCUCAUCACAAAUCUCUAUAAUGCCCUCCUUGAUCAUACUAAGGAUCACAAGAGUCUGGUCAAUGAUAUUGCACAUAAUCUCAGAUGGAAUGAACUCCCUCAUUUGAUCAUCGAGCUACCCGACUACAGAGUCUGAGCCUAAUCCCUCGUCAACACCAGAACUACCAUCUGGUCUACCAUGUAGCGUCACUAUACUCGAUAAUAUACCAUUACUAACAUCACAAUACUCAUCAGAACUCGAGGGAUCUCACACACUACAAGUUCCCUAGUCUUAUCUUAGCCUUCCUUGAUUCGAGUACAGAUCCUCUACUUUUAGUAGUACGGGCCCAUACUACCUUCCACAUCUUUUUGUACUUUCCUCAAGUACUGCCUCGACUCCACCAAGUCCCUUCUACUACUAUUGUUGAUCUCUUGCUAAUCUCAUCCUAGGCUUUCCCUAGGGUAAUCACCAACCCACUCUUCGACGUCAGCUGGAUAAGAAGUCCCUGCCUUAUUCCCCUAACUAGCUUGCGAAUACUAUUACAUAUUACUCAGACUAGAUAAUUCUUCGAAUGAGAGAUCCUACCCUACAACGGUUGGACUCAAACAAGAGCUACAAAAUAGAGCUAGACCUAACCUUCUAAAAUUAUUUAGUCUUUGCAAUAUGUAACUUAAAUAUAUUCGUUUACUAGUUAGUGAAAGACAACUAGAACUCCUAAAAGCACAAAGCAAGCAACAUUCGGGUGUUGAGUACACAUAAUCAAGCAUAUACUACUCUGGCUACAUACUCACUAAUAUGUACUAGCAUGCAAUUCUCAAUAAGCUGGUACACAUAUAACAGGCACAUAAGGCAUCCUUCCUAGAUCCUUAGCCCUAAACUGACAUGCAGUUCUCCUAAAGUUGAUACUCAUAUUAUAAUAUGAUCUUGUAUGGGUAAUUUGGUAGUACUUACUUAAGCUCAGCUGAUUGCAUGCAACACACCUUUUUCCUUUUUCAAAGUUCUUUUCUUUCUAAAAUUUUUUUUCGUUUUUCUAAAACUCUUUUCUUUUGAAAACUUUAUACCACAUCCUUAGUUUGAGUUCAGACACACCCAAAAGUCUGGCCGAAUCCCUCAAACCAAGGCUCUGAUACCAACUUGUAAAAUCCCAAAAACACAGUCUGAAAAUUUCGUUUAAUUUAAUAAUAAAAACCGUAGUCAAUAAACCUCUUUAAAAAAUCAUAAGAAAUGUAUCUCAAAAUAUUAUAAAAACUGUCAAGUAUAUUAGAGUCUAAACAUCCCAGGCUGAACAAAUGGUGUGUGGACUGUAAUUUCCCCGAGCUCCUCUUUUGAAAACUGAGUACCUAAAACCAAAACUAAAAUUGUAAGCACGAAGCUUAGUGAGCUCCCCCAAACUGCCACAUACCAUAAAAUAACAUAUAAACACAUAUUGGGCCUUGCCCACUGCAUCGUACCGAAGUCAGGAAACUGCAUCAGAACGAAGUCCAGAACUGACUGGGACCCCAUCCCCUGCAUUGGACCGAAGUCCGGAACUAACUGCAUCAGACCGAAGUCUGGAACUGACUGGGACUCUGUCCCCUGCAUCGGACUGAAGUGCGAAACUAACUGCAUCCAAGUGAAGGCCGGAACUACAUCAGACCAAAGUUCGAAACUGACUGGGACCCUGUCCCCUACAUCGGACCGAAAUUCGGUAAGUGACUGAACAUAGCUUAACAUAAACAUAUCAACUGGCAUGACUACAUAUACUGCACACUGCAUCGGACCAGAGUCUGGAACACAUAACACAAAACAUGCUUGAAUCACAAAGACAUCAAGCACUCUAACUACUGCAUCAGACCGAAGUCCGAAACAAGUAACAUAUAACAUGGAAGCUAAAUCACUGCAUCGGGCCCCGCUCGGUAUCGGACCGAAGUCCGGUACUACUAACACCUAAACGGGCCGGCAUUGUGGCCUUAGACCCAUUCUACUAGAAGAGGACUCACCUCACACUACUGAAGUCCUACUGACAAACCAUAACUGCUGGAUGACAGAUUCCCGAUCUGUCAAUAUCAAAAUAACACCCAAUUAAUAAUUCGGUUCCACUACAUAACUAUAAAUACAUACUUUGGAUAAUUACUACAUUACCCCUAUCUUGGCUUACCCAAGCCCAAAGCCCAAUCCAUAGGCCUAAAGUCAACUAGGGAUCAGAGACCAACACAUGGCCCAACUUUCCAAAUUGGGCCCAAAUCUCCACAUGGACUUCCCUUAAGUCCCAAUUGUUUAGUCCAAUCCAACAUGUCUCAUUCUAAGGCCCAAUAUCAUACAAUCAUCUAGGCCCAAACUAUGGCCCAAUUUUCCAAAUUGGGCCCAACCCUUCAUAUGGGCCUUACCCUAAAGCCCAACUAAUUACUCUAGUCCAUUUGAUUAUUCUUGGAUGUCCCAACACAAAGCCCAAGUGAAUAUUAAGGUUUUCUCACUUAGCCCAUUAAGGUCUUAAUCCAUUAAGUCCUUUACUCUACUAGAUAGUUAAUAUGGAGAAAUUGCGCUUAAUACAUAAUUCAAUCUCAAUGGCACAAAAGUAGGUCCAAUAAGUCCAAGGCCUAAAUACUCACAGUUAGGGUUUUGAUCUAAACAUGGCCCAAUAGGCCCAAAAUUAAUCUUUAAACCCAUUAGGGUAUUGGCUAGGUCCAUUAGGGUUUUGCUUGUGGGGAACCACCCACUACCACCUCGGGUAGUGGUGCUCAAUCGGCGGUACACGGCGGCGGCUACCACCUUAUGGUGGUAGUUACUAUUAUUAUUUUCAUUAUUUCAUGCUAAUUACAAUUACAAGCCUUUCAUCCAAAAUACACACUAACUAAUACACACACAUAGCCACACCAUGGUGGCCAGCAAAAUAGGGCAGAGACGGCAACCCAGCGGCAUUAAUAGCAAUAGCCACCAUGGCCAGCCGCCAUGGUGGUUCUUCCCAGUUGUCGGCGAACAACCCAGCACACAAUAGAUCUGGAAACGACCUCCCGCCAGGUAGCGCACGACGACCGGCAACAGCACAACCUUGGUAGUCGGCGACAGAUACUACAUCAGUGGGAGAAGGUGGCAGUUGGACAGAUGGCAGCGGCUGGAGAAGGCAUCGGAACCGCAACAGUGAAACACCGGGACAACAUCCAUUGCACAUCGUCGCUGGCAACAGAACGGUAGCAACAUCGGCGCCAACUGCCGGAGAUAGCGGCGGCAGGCGCUAUCGACUUAUUACACUUCAUCACCGCCGGCACAAGUACUCCAUGUUGGUUCUCAUUGCUGCCUGUGACAAGGGCUGAUCGAUGGUGCAAGGUGGUCGGAAGAGGAAUGGGUGGAUGGUGGCGAUGGCGCCGGAGGCAAGGAAGAGGUGGGGUGACGAUUGCCUCUCUUCUUAGGGUUAAGGAUUGGCACCCGGUGAUGUUGGGUUAUAUACUUGACUCACGAAACUUUGCCCCAUAAUGACAAAUUAAGCCCUUCCUUUCCCUCAUUUCUAUCAAAGUAAUCCAUAUUUUACACUUUUAACCCUACCUUUAGAAAUCUAUACAACUGAAUCCAAAACUUACCUUUUAAGCCUUGAUCCCAUAAAUUUCUUUCAUAAUAGACCCCUAAAUUACCAGUAAACCCUUCAAUCUUCAAAUCUUUUCUAUUUAGGUCCAUAAAUUACCAAACGCACCCUAACCUCCAAAAUCCUUUUCAAUUUAGUCCCGAACUUACACUUUUAACCCUUGACUUUCAAAAUUCUUCACAAAUUAGUCCGGGACAUAGAUUUAUCAAUUUAUUUAAAUAAACGAGCGUUAUAGCAACCCUCUCAGAAAGGCCUUUGAACAACAGAGUGAAGAGGCCAUUCCAUUAAGGAGGAAGUCAAGACUUCUUGACUUUAGUCACUGUCGUGAGGAGUUCUGUAUACCCCAUAUUGUAGAACAUUGAAAAGAGCUGAGCAGUGGUGAUGGAGUCAGGGAUGACCAUGGAGGCUUCGUAAGAAAGCUUUAGAAGUGAGCAAAAAUAAUACUCGGAAAUCGACGUCUUUUGAUCUAGAAUGUCAAAGAAAACCCUCUCUUUUGUCUUGUCGUAUGUUGCAGUAGAGUACACCCGAGAGAGAAAAGACAUUGGAUCUGAUUCAACCUGCGUCAAUGAUAUAAAAAGUGGAGAGUACUUGAGACAUUCCACCAUAUUAAGCAUAUAUAGAUCAUAUACAAAUGAUGUGAUAUCGAUCAGAAGGUUCUGAUUCGCCUUGAUAGAGAUAAGAGUCGAUCGAGCAGAAGUCUCGUGCACUGAAGAAGAUUCUGCCAUUGUUGAAGCUCAAUGAAGAAAGAUGAUGAACAGUGGAGGAAAAAUUGUCAGUAUUUGUCUUUGAGAAGUAUGAGAGCGGUAAAAGGGUAAAGGUAAUUUGAGAAAACCCUUUAUACUGUUAACUAGAAGACAAAAACAAAUCGCAAUAAUAUCACAGGAGAAAACAUCUCAAUCGACGCCUAGGAAAUUGUGAUUGGACAACUGUUACAGCGAAAAAGGCGAUGACAGGCGUGACAUCAGCUAUCGUUUCAAAUUCACGUGCCUUUCUAUGUUUAUCUCAAAAUUGGUUUCCGAUUCUAGACCCUUGAAAUUCAUGCUGACUCAUCCUUUUGCUUUUAAAAGAGUCCAUUCUAUCAUAAUGAACCGUAGCUACAUUUCUGAAAAUAGAACCGCACUUUGGAAAAUCAAAGAUCUCUGUGCAAGAUAGUGUCAAAUAUAAAGAAAUAAAGGAAAUAAUUUGUGAGAUAUAUGUGAUGUCUAGGAAGACAUAAAAAGUGGAUCCUGGGCACGAAUCUCUACCUUCAAAGUUAAGAGAGACUUCAAAGUGCUUAUUUGGUUUCCCGUUGAAUUACGAUCAAAUGCCUGUAAAGGGAUAUUGAAAGGCAUAUUUUCAUAUAAAGCUAUUAGGGUGGCUUUCGCUUCAAUCCAUACAUGGGUACUUGACAUAAGACCGAAAAUGGAAGAAGUACUUGUGAGACCGGUGUAGCCUGUUAAAAAAGUAGGUUUGGGUCUUUUUCAGUGACUUGGUGAUAUAAAUAGGAAAUCUCAAAAACAAAACUAGAACUAGAUCUUAUGUCAAGAAACAUCUUGGUGUUAGACAAUUUCAUAAAGAUCACACAAAAAUAAAAGGAGAUUUCUUGAGAUAACAAGUAAUAGCUUGAACGUGUAUGUGAUCACCGUUAAUUCAUUUAAGGUGUUGGAUUUUAGGUUUCACUUAGCACUUGGUGAACAUAUCUAAGAUCAUCAACACAGAUGUUGUGUAACCAUAAACCUCAGUGGAAAUUGCUGAGAGUCUCAAGGGUUACAAUUGUGGAGCGAAACGAGAUGGACAAAUAAGAUAAGGUGGUUAAGGAGUCGUAAGUGCCUAUGCUAUUUGAGAAUGACAAAAUAGAAAACUGUUAACUCAAAAUGACAAGAGUAAGGUAGCUCAUGACUUGAGUGAAAUUAGCAGCCUAAUUGGGAAGAAAUGAUUGGUUUCGAUCGAAUCAUUAAGGCUUCACUCACAGUCUUGGAGGCUUCGGUCUACAUACAACAACAUGCUUCUAGGGACACUUAACUAGUACAAAGAUAGAAAUAUCAUACCUGCCCUGGAUCCAAUUGGUAUAGCUUAUGUGUUCUUCAAACCUUAGGUAGAAAAGAAACAAGAACAAAACAAAACACAAAAAGAAAAUAUUUUUGAUGUUUUGAAAAAUAAUAAAAAUAGAAAAUAUUUUUGAAUUUUAUUAAAAGUAAGAGAAAAACAUAAAAUAAAUUAAGAUACAAUAAAGUGUACAAAAGAUACAACUGAAAUGUCACCAUUGUAUAUGAGGCGAAAUGGACCGAGCAUUCAGUUCAUUUUGGUUCCCGAAAAAUCAGGACCCGAAAUAGACCGAGCGUUCGCUCUAUUUCACUUCCAACUUUUAAUGACGUGAAAGCGAUUUCAGUAUGGAUUCAGCUUCCAUCAUUCCUAAGCCUUGUAAGAUUAUAUUAAAACUUGCUUCAUGCAAGGCUUUUGUAAAGAUCUCAGCUAAUUGAUCAGUGGUUCUUACAAAAUGUAUUUCGACAUUACCGUGUUCCGCGUGAUCCUUAAUAAAAUGAUACCUCCGUGGUAUAUGUUUCAUUUUGGAGUGUUGCAUUGGGUUGUGACAUAUCCUUAUUACACUUUCUAAGUCACAAUAUAAUGGAAUUUUCUUCAUGUUCAGGCCAUAGUCUCGAAGUUGGCUUUGUAUCCAAAUGACCUGUGAUGUACAUGAUGUUGUAGCUAUAUACUCUGCUUCAGCUGUAGAAAGAGACACAUAGGUUUGUUUCUUCAAUUACCAGCUGACAAGUUUGCCAUCAAGGAACUGGCAUUCUCCAGUAGGGCUCUUUCGGUCCAAUCCACAUCCUCCUAGAUCAGCAUUAGAGAAUGCCUUGACAAAGAAUUUUGAGUUUGAUGGGUACCAUAGACUGAGAGAAGAGGUUCGCUUCAAAUAUCGAAAGAUAUUCUUCACACCCAAUAGGUGAGGUUCACAUUGAUUAGCUUGAAACCUGGCACAAUAACAAACAGAAAACAUUAUGUAUGGUCAACUUGUUGUUAGAUACAUCAAGGACCCUAUCAUUUGAUGAUAGAGGGUCAUGUCAGCAACCGGUUUUUCUAGAGAAGGUGUUAACUUUGUGCCAAACGCCAUAGGAACCUUCACUUUUGAGUAUCCCAUCAUUCCAAACUUGAAUCUCCCUUCUUUGUCCAUUUUGUUUCGAAAUACCCAUUUCAGUCCAACUACAGAUGCAUCCUUUGGUGUAGAAAUUAGUCUCCAUACCUUGUUUCGCUCAAACUCAUUGAGUUUGUCUUGCAUUGCUUGUAUCCAAUCAUAGUAAUCGAGUGUAGUGUUGACAGUCUUCAGUUCAAUUUUGGAGACAAACGAAUUAAACAUGCCAAAUUCCACUUGAGAGAAUAAUGUAGUUUGCUUCGCUUUCAGUUGAGAAUGAGUAAGAACUCUUUCUGAUGAAUCACCAAUGAUUUGUGUUUUUGGAUGAUCUUUUGUCCAUUUGGUGAGAGGAGGGUAAUUUGAAUCAUAGGAGGGAUACAACUCAACAUUUACUUCUUCUUCCAAUUCCGACUGAGUAUCAUCAUCAUUUGUAUUUGCAUUCUCCCCCUUAAAUGAUGAGACAGUUUCGGCUGCAGGCAUGGAAUUCUCCCCCUCAAUUGGACGUUCGGUUGAUAUGGUAGUUGAUGGUUUCUCCCCCUGGAAUGGUAAUUUAGGGUUAUCGGAUGAAGAUGAACCCUCCCCCUGAAAUGUAGAACUUUUUUUUGGAGGUUCGCUUUGACUGGCCUAUUUGGUAGUUCUCGGUUGUUCUUUUUCCAUAUCAUUCGCUCCGUCAUCAAUGAUUUGCUUCACAGUAUCAAUCUCUUUGUCAGCUACCUUUGCUUUAGAGUGAAUAGCUUUCUCUGGUUCAUCAAAUAAUGACAUGUAUUGCUCAAAUAGAUUUUAAAUGGAAAUAGUGACUUCACCAAAUGUUGGAAAGAUUUCCUCCAUUGAACGUUCGGUUGUUUGAAGCUUUUUGGCGUAGUUGUCAUCAAAGGUGACAUAAUAGGUUUAUUCAAUUUUCUUGGAAUGUUUGUUUAGAAUCCUAUAUGCCUUCGAGUUUAAUGAGUAGCUAAGAAAAUGUUGGAUUAGUGUCUAAGUCCAUAACUAUUUUGGUAUGUACUUGACCCGAUUAUGAGCAUGGUCCUUUUGGGUUGCCUUCAUCAUAGCAAUAUGUAGGAUGAAUUAAGGAGAGAAAGGUUUAAUUAUCAUUUAUUAAUAUAUUAUGAGAAUAAUAUAUUAAAGGAGAAAUCAUAUUUUUUAAUUAAUAUUAGUCAAGAAUUAAUUGAUAAAUAAUUUUGUGGCUAAUAGAGAUUAAUUAAACUUAGGGGACUGCAGUUGUAAUUAUAAGAUAAUUAUAAUUGGGCUAUGGAUCACUUAAUAAAAUAUAGGUUGGACGAAUUCUAUGGAAAGCCCAUUAGAAAUCGUCCAAGGGAUAUGUUGAAGGAGUCCAUGGGCUGCUUAGGGCUUAAGCAGUCAGAUUAGGGUUUCCUAGUUGUAAACCCUAAUAGCCUACAUGUAUAUAAAGGACCCUUAAGCCCCAAAAACGUGGAGAACACUUCCUUUAGGGUUUCUAGACGUUUUGGGCAGCCUCCUCUCUUCUCCUCUUCAUCCAGGUUGCUUAGUGGUGUUUGUGACUCCAUUAGAGGUGCAGCACUUGAGGCACUAAGCUUUCUAAGGCCAAUCCAAGCAAGGAAUUGAUUGUUAUUGUUAUAUAACAAUCAAAGGUAAUUCUCUAAACCCUAAUUCAGUUUAUUAUAUGUUAGAUUAGGGUUUAUUAGUCUUGGAUUCAUUGCAUGUACAAAAGAGAAACCUAGAUCCAAGCAUUAGGGUUUGUAUGAGCACAUAGGAUUGUUCUUAUGCCUAAAACCCAUCAGUGGUAUCAGAGCCUUGAUUGGUUUCUGUUGUAUGUGUUGCAAUUGUCGAAUUCUUGCUGAAAAAAUGAUUUUUUGGCCUCUGCCCGACCUGAUUCGGCGAGUCAGUGGAUGAACUCGGCGAGUCAGUCUGACUCGGUGAGUCCAGUCCCAGACUCGGCGAGUCCAGGGGUCAGAUAGAGGGAAUAUCGGGAUUUCUUGUUGUUUUGCUGAAGGAUUAAUACCAAAAACGUAUUUUGAUGAUAAAAUCCGAUUUUUAUUAUAUUUGGAUGAUUAUCCUUCAUAAAACAAAAGAUAAUUUCAAAUCUUUUGAAUAAUAGUUUCCUUAUUAGUAAAUAUGGAUUAUUUAAAUUAUUUGGUAAUUAUCUUAUGAAUAAAAUGAGAUUAGGUCAAAUAUAGAUAAUCACCAAAUUAAUUGUUUAUUAUGUUAUUUGUUAUAUGAUCCCUUAUGUUUUGAAAAGUUUCAAAACUUGCCCUCCAGUUUUGGAAUUUAUAUUUUGAUUAAAAAGUUUAAUUUUGAAAUAUUUAAAUUCUGAACCCUAAUGUUUUGAAAUGUUUCAAAACUUGCCCUCAAGUUUUGGAAUUUAAAAGUUGAUUAAAAGUUUAAUUUUGAAAUGUUAAAUUCUAAAACCCUAGUAAUUUGAAAAGUUCAAAUCACACCCUUAUGGUUUUAUUAAUUAAUUAAAGUGUAUAAUUAAAAGUGAUUUAAUAAACCCAUAAAGUUUUGGUUUACAUUUAAUUAAAUUAAAAGUAUAAUUUACUAAAUUAAACCACCUAGUAUUUUAAAAGUGUAAAAUACACCCUAUACUAUAUAUAACAUUAAAAGUCUAAUAUUAUAUAUAUGUAUGAGUAAACAGUCAGUCUUACCAUUAGUAGGCCUCAUUCACGAAGCUGGUCUAUAAGGGGUGUUUAAGGAAAUUGCCUAUAAAAUGGCGAUUGAAUAGGUAUCCACUCUUACCCACCGCACUCUUGACUAGUGAAGGGUCGUUAGUCGGACGGGUAGGAUAGCACAGAAACGUUCCAUUAUAAGUAUAAUGAAGUACAAAGUAACUAAAUGCUUAUACGAAUUCCCAAAUCAUAGUUACUUUAGGCAAAAUGUGAAAUUGUAUGCUAACCCAUGGAAUUACACUUCGUACCCUUGUCAAACGUUAGUGGAGCGUGUGUGGUUAACCGGAACACUAAUUUGGGGACGAAAUUGGUGGUGAAGGGUGGCUCGAUGUUUAUCAUAGAUCAAUGGAGCGUGUGUGGCUAACCGGCACAUUGAUUAGGUGAUAGUAGCAUCGGGUGCACCAUGUGAUUCGUAUGGUUAUUCACACCUUGUUUGUGAUCCUCAGCAUCUCAGUCACAAAUAGUAGGGCAUAAUCAAGAUUAAACAUGCCAUUGGAAAGUUCAAUGAAUCUCAAAAGACCUAGGAGCUUCAAUUCAUUUAAAACUUAAACUUCUUUUUCGUUUUUCAUGGUGGAAAUUGGUAAAUCGUCAUUUACCUACCUUCAAAUAUUCUACAACUAGAUUACGACAUCCCUCUUCUAGGUUGUAGAAUAUUGUGUUGGAUCCUAGCUUGAUGUUUCAUUUGGGUGUUACAUCAAGAAUUCUAAUCAACUUAACUUGAAUUUUCUCCCGUUUUGUAGAUGUCUGAAUCUUACAAUGGUCUUCCCAAAUCCUUUGGAACAAGCUUUCCAAAUGAGGAUGACGUUCUGAGAUACGAUCAAGGAAAUGAGAGUCAUGCUUUACUUCCUCCACCUCCUCCAAUUGUUCUCCCUGACCCACAAGUUCGAAGGCUUGAAAAGUUCAAGCUCACUCAAACCCUUUGGGCAAGUAAACACAAAGAUGGAAAAUCCGUGUGUGCACACAUCUUAGAGAUGAAGUCACACAUUGAUAAGUUAAGCAUGUUGGGUGUCAAGAUUUCAAGUGAGUUGGCAGUUGAACGGGUUCUUCAGUCACUUCCUAAAUCAUAUAGUGAGUUCGUUAGAGAGUACUAUAUGAUGGAUCACGACGUGACCCUCAUUGAUCUCACCUAUUUGCUUAUAGCUGCUGAAUCAACAAUGAUUUGGCGUGUUGGUCAAGCAAAUUUGUCUAGUGAAUCAAACUCCCAAACUUCAAUGGACACUGGCAACAUUGGAAGUCCAGAAAGAACUAAGUUUGUGAUUGUCCGGUGUGGUGUUCCAAAGGAGUCCGUUUGCUUUUAUUGCCAAGAGAAGGGGCAUUGGAGACGUAGCUUCCCUAACUACCUGAGGGAUCUAAUAGAUGGGAGAGUCAAGAUGUAUGGCUCUACUUCAGGUAAAAUCCAUUAGCUAACUCUUUUAAGUUCCUAUUCUAGAUUCUUAAUACAUUAUGUGAUAAGAUUACAUUUUGAUGUUUGGUUGGAUCGAAGAAAAGAGAGGAUGCUUAAGGGAAGAAGUGAGCUGAAUCUAAUUGUAAAGAAAUGGAUUUCGAUCGCAUUGCUUGAAGAUUAGACUCUUGAGCUACUACUUGGAGUUAGAAUAAAUUGUUAAGAAAGAUGUAAUAUCAUAGUUUUUCAAUUGAAUUGCUUUGUAAGGACAAAAUUUUCCACAAUAAAAAUGAAUUUUGAUUUUGUCUUAUUUAUUUAUCCUUCCAAUGGCAUGUAUGAAAAAAAUUGAUGUUUUUGAAGGUUUUUAUUAUUAGCAAUAAUGGAUUUGAUUCUUAAUUGUAUUAUUUGUGGGAAUGUCGAGAAUUUACCAAAUAGGGAGAGUUUCUCAUCGCCCAAGUUUCAAGUGGACAGAAACUUGGAAUCAUGCAACGUGUAUUGUAUGAUGAAUGAAAAACUUUCACAUUUGGGAAAUUUAGACUAAUUCUUUGACAAAGUGUCAAUUGAAGGACUAGGAGAUCGAGUACACUAGGUCGUAUGUUGAUCAAGUCUACCACAAGAAUGAAGAAGAUAUCCGUCAUGAUUUACUAAAGUUUAGUAAAUAUGGUUAUAUUUAUAAGAUUAAGUGUAAUUCUGAGUUAAUUGAAAAGGUUUCAAUAAAUAGCAGAACGAUUAAAGAAGAAUCAAGUAGGCAUAAAGAUAAAGGUUUCUCUGUUCUAAGAAAAAGGGAGAGUACUUUUAUUGUGUUAGGUCUUAAUGGUUAAGAACCAUAUCUCAAUUGAUUCUAUAAGUGAGUCUUAGUACAUUUAUAUGUCUAAGAAGACGAAUCAAGAAUUGUGGAAUUGGUUAAAUCAAGAAGUUAAUCAUAUUCGUUCCAAUAUCGAAUCUUAGAGUCAUACUCCAAGAUUUCGAAUGGAGUGAAAAGUCUUUAGUAGGUUUAUAACAUUUAACGAAUGUGGGAAUUUGGAAAAGUGUUCUUAUUCUUGCACAUUAGAAAUUGGUAAGUUGUGCUGUCUUGGAAAAGGCAAAGACCAACUAGGACCAAUUUGUGAAGUGUUUUGAUAAAAGCUACACUAACUCUUGAAUAUUUGUUUGUCAAGAAAUGUUUCUUGAUACGAGAACCUUAUAUGUCAAGGAGUCAGUGGGAGUUUUAAUGUUUUUGAAAAAGGUUUCGAAAACAAAUCAAGAAUAAACCUUAUCGAUCAUCACUGGCACACGACUUCAGGUUUACAACCUAUCGUGUUGACAUUAUUUUGUUUCGGUGCCAUUCCAAUUGAGUUAAUUAUUCAUGUGAGUUCUAUGAGUUCUCAUUUGAAUGCAUAAAGACAAAUCACAUUGAUCAAUGGAAAGUACAUUGAUAUGUAAGGAUAAGUUGCUAAACUACUUGGAAGACAUGGUGGGCACUCAUGUUACCAUAAGGCAAGAAAUCAAGAUUAAGAAAGUUCAGUCCAUAUGAGUUUGGAUUUGUCACAGACUUUGGUUUUGGCAAAUUCACAUGGAUAGGAACUCAUACACCAUAAAAUCUAAGUGUCAUAAGAUUCCCUCCUUCAUGAAAAUUAUUGUGAGGAAAUGCUUUCACUAAGAGAGAUUUUAAGAAGAUGGCGAUUGUGAAAAUUGUAUUCUCAAAUUUGAUUAUGGUUACGGCAUCCCUUUCCAUAGUUCGAGUUGUGAGAUUUGGCAAUUAGUUUGAACAUUUGGAACUUAGUAACAUAAGUUCUGAAUUGAUUAAACACACGUAUGAGCUAUCUAAGGCAAAGGUGUAUAAGUUUAAAAAGCUUAGAUAAAGGCUUAUCAAAGCAUCUGGUAUUAGAAAUACGAAUUUCAGAAAUUCAAUAGGCAUUGUUUUCUGGAAGUUCAUUUGUUUUCUGAAUACAUGUCAAAGCUAGUGGGAGCAUAAGUGUUAUGCUUAUAUGAUAGUAAUCAUCAUGAUAGUGGGAGCAUAAGUGUUAUGCUUGUAUGAUUAUUAUGGAAAGUAUUGCGAGUUAGCAAUAUUAAUUAUAGAAAAACAAAGAUUCAAUUUACAAAGUUGCAUGGGUUGAAAAUUUGUUUUGCUAUUAUCAAGGGAGAGAAUAUUAUACUUCGUUUCAAAAUCUAAAGCUUAAACUGAAAAAAAUUUAAUAUUUUUAGUCAAAGGAUACAUUGCGUGUUCUCAAAUUUCGAUUAUGAUUACGACAUCCCUCUUUAUAGUUCGAAUUGUGAGAACAUGACACAUAAAAUAUUAUGGCAUAAGAUUGGUAAAGUAUCAUAUCUUUAUGUAAGACAUUAUGCAUCGUGUCCCAUAAGCUUCGAGUAUAGGAUCGAUUGAAAAUGCUAUAAUAUUUUACCAUUCUAAAAUUUUCCAAAUGUCUAGCGCAUUAAGAGGGAAAAAGGACUAGAAUUGGUUUUGACUAAAAUAAUUAAACAACUAUCAAAGGACGAUCCAAAGUUCGCUGAAGAUUGGUCGCUUGUGAGUAGUUGGAAGUAUGGUAUUGGAUGGACCAUAUCGACGUUAUUAUAAAUAGAUAAGAUUCUAUUAAGAUUGAGUUGUCAUAUGGCAAAUGUGGAAAUGUUUCCAUAUUGGGAGUUGGAUAUUGAGAGUCUAUGUCUAGAUUAGAAAAUUUUAUGCGAGAAGGGUGUUUAAAGGAAUGUACUUUGAAUGUGAAACUUCGCGUCUAUGGAAUUGUGUUGUAACAAUUUCUAAGAGAGUACUUUGUAAUUUCAUUAGCCAAGUCUUGGUGACUUUUGUGCUAUGACUUUACGAAAGGAUCGUUGCAUAAAAUGUUAGAAUCUAGCAUAUUCUACUGGUAGCUAAGAACCUUGUGUUCUUACACUAAUGAUAAGGAUUGAGAAUUGAGAAAUGAGCAUCAUUGGAAAAGUUUUCAAUUGAUCUAUUUCACAAAGCAUAGACCAUAGGAAACAAAGUGUGCAUGCUUGGAGCAUGGAACAAUCGUUGUUGUAAUUCAAGUAAUGAGUUGAUUAUUCGAAACAUUAAAUGAUAAAUAAUGAGUAACCAAUAUAGUGGAUAAAUAGAAGUGUUUUAUUUACUCUCACAAGUUUGGGGCCAUAUAGGAUUAACUAUUAUUAUUAUGUUUCAGUUUGCAUGUUUUGACUUCCAGAAUAACUAGGUUAUUCAAACAUCCACAGUCGGUCAUACGUUGGGAGUAGGUAUGAAGGAAGACUGUCAUGAAUCUAUCUGUAGAUUGUUUGAAGUGUUUAGACAUGGCACAAGUUUACUACAGAGUUUAUGAGUGCUUUGAUAAGAUUAGAGUAUUGGAUUAAACCCACGCUCACUUGGAUCACUUUAUGGAUUUUAUCCCAAGUGAUUAGUGAGAUGAUAAUAUUGUAUAUUCUUGAAACUGAGACGUGUGAGUUGUUAUUUGCUGGUCGGUUACACAUUGAUAAUAAGUAAACGCACCAGUAACUUGGUGUUAUAAAACUUAUUGUUGUGUGUGAUUCGAUCAGUAAAUUCAAGCGAGCAUUUGAGUCGAAGUUUAUCCAUUCCUUUUACCCAAAGUAGGAUAAAAGCGGUAUAUGUGGGCCUCUCGAUGAUUUAGUGAUGAAACCUAAGCGCUUGGCCAAGCCGGGACUAAGUUGAUGUGUUAAGUUGUAGUCUGUAAACAGCCGUCAUAAAUCGGAAGUCGGGAAAUAGUAUAGAGAGAAUGAUUAAAAUUCAUGUCUUAUGUCUAUAUGAUAUCUUGAGAAUGGUGGAAUAUAUGAUCCCUUAUCUAAAGCACACACUAUCUGAUAAGAUCAGAGUUGACAUCGACUUUUGAAAGCUACAAUUGCUGAUCAGGUUCUGAAGUCACAUGGAAAAUAGUUAUUAGACUUAUCCAGAGAGAAGACUGUUGGAUUAGUGUCUAAGUCCAUAAUUAUUUUGGUAUGUACUUGACCCGAUUAUGAGCAUGGUCCUUUUGGGUUGCCUUCACCAUAACAAUAUGUAGGAUGAAUUAAGGAGAGAAAGGUUUAAUUAUGAUUUAUUAAUAUGUUAUGAGAAUAAUAUAUUAAAGGAGAAAUCAUAUUGUUUAAUUAAUAUUAGUCAAGAAUUAAUUGAUAAUUAAUUUUGUGGCUAAAAGAGAUUAAUUAGACUUAGGGGACUGGAGUUGUAAUUAUAAGAUAAUUAUAAUUCGAUAUGGAUCACUUAAUAAAAUAUAGGUUGGACGAAUUCAAUUGGAAGCCCAUUAGAAAUCGUCCAAGGGAUAUGUUGAAGGAGUCCAUGGGCUGCUUAGGGCUUAAGCAGUCAGAUUAGGGUUUCCUAGAUGUAAACCCUAAUAGCCUACAUGUAUAUAAAGGACCCUUAAGCCCCAAAAACGUAGAGAACACUUCCUUUAGGGUUUCUAGACGUUUUGGGCAGCCUCCUCUCUUCUCCUCUUCAUCCAAGUUGCUUAGUGGUGUUUGUGACUCCAUUAGAGGUGCAGCACUUGAGGCACUAAGCUUUCUAAGGCCAAUCCAAGCAAGGAAUUGUUUGCUAUUGUUAUAUAACAAUCAAAGGUAAUUCUCUAAACCCUAAAUCAGUUUAUUAUAUGUUAGAUUAGGGUUUAUUAGUCUUGGAUUCAUUGCAUGUAAAAUAGAGAAACCUAGAUCCAAGCAUUAGGGUUUGUAUGAGCACAUAGGAUUGUUCUUAUGCCUAAAACCCAUCAGAAAAACCCCUUUGUCAGCGUCGACAUCAAACUUGUUUCGGUGCACCUUAUAAUUAAAAAUAACGCAUCUGGAACCGAACACAUGGAAGAACUUGACAUUUGGAUUACGAUUGUUCAAGAUCUCAUAUUGAGUAAUAGAAAAACGCUUGUUGAGAAGAGAUAUGUUCUGUGUGUAGCAAGCAGAAGCAAUUGCAUCAGCCCGAAAAUAUAAAGGCAAUGAGGCAAAACUGAGCAUGGUGCAGGCUGCUUCACACUACGAGUGGUUUCACCUUUCAAUGACACCAUUUUGUUGUGGAGUGUAGGGAGCAGAAAAGUUGUGAGAUAUGCCGUUUUCAGCAAUUCAAAUUCAUUGUUUUUGAACUCCAGCCCAUUAUCACUUCGAAUAUUUCUCACCAGCUUUCGCAGUUGAAGCUCUAUUUGCUUGACAAAAACCUUGAGCUUUGGUGUAGCCUCUGAUUUCUGAUUAAGAAUGAACACCCAAGUGAAACAAGAAAAAUCAUCUACUAUUACUAGUAUAUAUUUGUAACCACCAAUGCUUUCAAUAGCCGAAGGUCCACAUAAAUCUAUAUGUACAACCUCAAGUGGUUCGAUGAUCUUCGUGUUGACACGUGUUGGAUGACUUUUCCUGCUUUGAUUUCCCAUUUCACAUGCAGCACACAUAUGUUAUUUAUCAAAUUUGAGUAUUUGAAGUCCUCACACAUGAUCACCAAGAACUAGCUUGUUCAUGACUUUGAAGUUGACGUGCGAGAGCCUUCGGUGCCAUAACCAACAUCCGUCUGAGUGUGCUUUCGUUAGCAGACACACAGCUGGCUUUCCUCGAAUGGGAUUGAGGUUCAGUGGGUACAUCUCACCUUUUCUUUUGGAUUUUAAUAGAACCGUUUUGGUCUUCUUCUCUACUAUUUCAGACACUUCAUCAUCGAAUGAAACCUUCAGUCCAUUUCCCACCACCAGUUGUGAAACACUGAUGAGAUUGUGUUGUAAGCCCUCUACGUAUGCUACUUUUCUGAUCGAGAAUUCACCAUUUGUGAUCAUUCCAUAGCCUUUGAUUGUGCUAAAUGACUUGUUGCCAUACUUGAGACAACCACUAUCCAUAAGAGCUCGAAACUCCCAAAACUCUUCCUUUCUCCCUAUCAUGUGACAUGAGCAGCAACUAUCAAUGCACCAUUUGUCGUCGAACUACUCGUCAUGUGUAACCUGCAAAAAUCAAGCAGAUUUAGGAACCCAAAGUUUCUUGGGUCCAUGUGAUUACCAAUUGAUGAGAUAAAAACUCUUUAGAUCGACUAGAUCUUUAACAGGUAAAUAAAUAAGACCAACAAACAAAAGAACAAUCAAUGAAUCAAUCCGUAUGUCGAAUGAUUAAAAUAUUCUCACCCCUCAAAAGAGCUCGAUUAAGAACUGAAGAGAUAAAAUCUCUAAGAUCGUUUAGAUCUUUUACAGGUUAAUCAAUGAAGAACAAACAAUUAUAAUAAACAAAAGAAUGUACACAAGAUGGAAUCAAGGUAAUACUGAAUGAUUCAAAUGUAGUCACGCCUCAACAGAGCUCUAUUAAGAACUUCCACUGUAGAGACGAUCUAGGGUUUACAAUACGAUGAUGAAAAAUAGUAAAAGUCAUAAUUACUAAGGAUACGUGCAUGCACCUUAAAUACUGAAAUCCAAGAAUAAAAGAAAACACGGUUGGACAGGCCCAAACCGGUUACAAAAUUGGGGUAACUAUGACCGAGCCCAAAGAUGCAACAUUCAGAACUCAACAAUCUCCCCUUUAGGUCAAUUGGGGUGAGACCUUUACUUCGGUUGAUUGACAGUUACUCACUUCACUACCUUUAACAAGCUUGGAAUUAUAGCAAGAACAACUUGUCGAAAGUCGAUAUACCAUCUUAUCAUAUAUGUGAAGUACUUCUUAUCGCUUUCACUAUUUUGCUUACAUCUGUGAAUGAUUCCCAGAACAUACUCAAAGCACGAAGUAGUAAAGAGAUGUUUAUCAGUUAGAGCGAACAUGCAUUUCUUACCUUCUUGCAUGGUGAACAUCACCGAGUUCAACUUCAGGUUAAUCUUUCCCAUUUUCAUCUUGUUGACAUCGCUUGCAGAACCAACAGGAAAAAUGGUAGGCUUCUUUCUGAGAACUGAAGCGAUCUCUUGAUCCAUCUUGGCUACCUCUAGAAUGUAGCAGACUAACAUUCUUUUCAGAUGAUCAAUGAUUGGCUCAUACUCGACUGGGUCAGAGAAGAAUGUUGUGUAGAACAAUCCAAUCAUGAGGAUUGAGAUUAGGUAUAUCAGCAAAGGAGAAGGUAUGCUCAGACUUGGCCGAACCUCUGGCAACCUUGAAUUUGAUGUUGAUGAAUUUCCAUGCUACGUGAGGCUUAAGGACCCGAAUUGUGAUAAUUUUUUGAGCACUCCAACUAAGAUAUUUAGGUUGAGCGAACUCCAUAUAGUAGUCUAUUAGCUCAUGAUCAAUCUUCGGGUCUGGAUGAGGUACUACUGCGAAAGGAAGAAAGCAGUGAAAAACAAACGCCUUCCGGGUGAUUGGCAUAUCGAACUGAGAGUCUCUUGUAUUUUCACAAUCCAAAGACACUACUGGCUCAAGCCAAUGAGUGCUAGGGGAAUCGAUGGCUUCUUUGAUUAGCUUUUCCGGAGUCCAGAGCGGAAAGAGGGUUUUCUUGCUUUCUAGGAGAUCAUGAGCCUCUUUUAAUCUUCUUUCAUUCUCUUCAGCUUCCUUUACAAUCUUGGCAUUGAGAUUGAGUUCCCUUUUCCCUUGCCUUUCGCUUCAGAGCAUCAACUAUUGUCUCCUAUUCCUCGUCACUGUCAUCCACAAUACCCUUGCCUUUAUCCUUAAAGCCCGAACCCAAAGAAUGCUCAGUCUUCUGUUGUCCCGGCUGAGUAGUAGGAGGAGGUUGAGACGAAGAUGUUAGUUCUUCUCCCCCUUGUUUCGGAGGUACCAUAGUCUCUGAAACACCUUCGAUGUGACUCAACAUCCCAAGUGCAUGACGGAAUUUUUCAGCAAGAUGACGUCUAACUGAUAUGGUCAAGAUAGGUUCGUCAGUCUCCAGAACGUUCGAUAAAUUGGCGUGUACGUCUGAGACAUAACUUUUGACGACAACCUUUUCAGAAUGAAGGUGAUCUACCUCUUUGUUUGCCUAGGAAAGUUGGAGAUUUUUGUUUUUCAGCUGAGUAGUCUUGAGAGCGAGUUCAUCCAUGAUCGAGCUUUCCAUGGCUACAUCAGCUUGGAGAUUUGUGAGACGCUCAUUGAGAGGGGACAUAAGGGCAACAUUAUCCUUUUGAAUGUUCUGGCGAAGGGAGGCAAAUUGUUACUUCUCAGUAUCAAAGGAUUCUUCAAGUUUGGCAAUGGAGUUGUUCACUUUAGAAGCGUUCAACUCAACUGCUCCUUGUAAAGACUCAAGAAAAAUAUUAGCGUUAUGAAUUUGUUUAUCAACUUUUUCAGUCGCUUCUGUGUAGACUUUGGGUAAGGCUGCAAUUGCAUCUGUGGCUUUAGAGAUUGAUGCUUCAUGAGCUUUGACAAAAGUGUCAACCAUGCUCUAAAUAGAAGCUUCAGAGUAAGGAUGGUGAGAGGAAGAAGAGGCCAUGAGAUUGUCGAUUUUCUCAUUUAGCUCCUUGAUGUGCUUUUUGGUAAUGGGAGCAUCAUCAUCUUCAUCACUCUGAACCCGGUAGGGACUGUAGUAGAAAAAAUCAAAAUCCAUUUCUUCACCACCAAGGACAGUAUUGGUUUUGCUUGAAGGUGUGAGAGAUAGUGGUUUGGAUGUUUCAGGGACUGAAGACCGAACCCCCGUAUCAGAUACGUUGGUCCGACCUUCAGUUGUUGUGGUGGUUGUAGCAUCAGAAAAAAUAGGAGGAGGAAGUGGAAUUGUAGAAGUAGGUUGUGAUUUGAUAACUGGGAAAGUGGGAGGUAAGGAAAUUGGAAUGGAAACAGGUGGAGGAGAAGGUGCGUUUGAGCGAACUGGUACCUCUAGUGUAGGCGAUCGAGGUGGGGUAUCACCACGAACCGAAACCUCCUCAUCAGAGCUUUCGCUUUCGGAUGUGCUAGGAGUGGGUUGUUUAUGUCCAAUAGGGAGAUACUCGGAGUCUGAGUCGCUCGAUGACUGAAGGAUAAGCUUCCAAGAAGGCUUCUUGGUCUUCUUCUGCUUGGGCUGGGAAGGUGCUGCCUUCUCAGACUUUCGCUUCCUUGGAGUUUGCCCCUUAGCUCCUUUGAUAAACCUUUCGUCUUUCUUCUUUUCUUGUUUCUUUCCCCUGUUUUACGGCUUAUCUGCUUCCUCAAUGGAACGAAUAAUUGCAGGUGUGAGUUCCCUUGGGCCCAAAGAUGGAAGCUUCUUGUACUCUUGUAUGACAUUACUCGCCUUAGACACACAAGCAUACAUGGAUGCUAGAAUCGAUCCAAUAAGCAAGUACUUGGACGGAUCAGUGACUAUAAUAGUUGUAGUGUGGAAUGUUGCGAUGGAGGAGAGAAGCGAUUCCGCCAUGAUUGUGACAUGAAAACAAUCCAUCCCCCGUUUUGUGACAAUAGACUAGAACCUGCCACAUGAAACUUCAGAAUGGCGAGAAGAGGAGGAUAAGCUUUGAACAAGAUGUUGCCAUAGGGCCGAACCAAAUUCAAGAUGUACCCCAUUGUACAACCCAUAAAGCAUGGUCAUAAACGACUUGCUUGCCCCAUCUGAUCCAUCGCUUCGCUCUGAGAAACCAUUGAACAGGAGAGUGAAGAGGCCAUUCCAUAGUGGAGGAAGGCAUGAUUUCGUGAACUUCUCCACGGUUGUUAGGGUUUCUGUAUACCCCAUGUUAUAAAACAUUGAGAAUAGUUGACCAGUUGAGAUGGAAUCAGGGUUUACCAUGGUAGGUUCGUGAGCAAGACCUAGCAGCAUGCAUAAUCGAUUCUUGGAAAUCGAGGUCUUCUUGUUGUGAAUAUCGAAGUGGAUACUCUCAGCGACUUUGUCAUAGUGAGCAGUUGAGUAGAUAUGAGAGAGGCAAGACAUGGGAACAACCUCUACCUGUGAGAGAGCGAUGAUAAGUGGAGAGUAUUUGAAGCAUUCCAUAACUUGCAGCAUGUAGGGUUCAUAGGUGAAUGGUGUAAGGUCAAUUAUGAGGUUUUGGUGAGGCUUGAUGGACAGAAGGGUGGAACGAAUAGAGGUGUCUUGAACAGAAGACGAUUCUGCCAUGGAUGUAGCUUGAGAAGAAGAUGAUGAACAGUGAAAGAAAUUGUCGUUUUCCUUUAGGAGAUUAGAAAGCGGUAAAAGAGUAAAGGUGAUUUAGAGAAACCUUUUGUACUUGGGAUUAGGAGAGAGAAAAAUCCACCCAAAAUCUUGUCUUUUGUGAAACGGUUCCUGAUACAGUGGGGAUUAGACAAUUGGCAACCCAUAUGCUUACACAGGAGAGAGAAAACAUUUCAUUUUACGCGUCGUUCCAUACAAAUCGCCUUUUUCAAAAUCGUCAAACGUUUGGAUAUUUGCUGACUCACCCCUUUACUUUAUUUGAAACGUCACCAACAUAAAUAUCAUGAAUCUAUGUCAACUUGAUCAUUUCGUUUGAGAAUCACCAUGUCACUUUUAGAACCCAAGCUACAUAUUGAAAAAUAGCUUAUACAAAAUAGAACCGGAUUUUUGGAAAAUCAAAGAUUUUCACGCAUAGAGUGUGAAAGAUAAAGAAAUAAAUCAAACUUUUUAUGGGAUAGUGUGAUGUUGAUUAAGACAUAAAGUAGUGGAAACGUUCCGGAGCGGAGGACGUCAUGAAUAUCGCAACCAAUGUACAUAGUAAGCGUAGUGAACACAAAACGUUACAUUACAUAGAAUUAUUACAUUUGUUUGAAAUCAAAGCGUUACAAGUUUUAUACACAUAUAUCAUAAGAACAAAAGAUAAGACGGGUCUUCUAUGUACUCAUCAUGGAAGCCUUUGGAGGUGUUUAAGGGCAAUUUAAGACCAUAAAAAGGUGUUUAUGGUCCAUGAAUGAGGGUUUACGGUCCAAGAAUGUUCUUGGGCCGUAAACUCAUGUCCAUACCUCAAUUUGUGAGAUUUUGGGGUCCUAAGCUCAUGCAUGCAAGUUUCUAAGCCAUAUCUAAGCACUAGGAGUGAUUUGGAUGGGUUUUGGGGCAUCAAAACCCUCUUUAGGAGUGUACACGGUUUUGGAAGGGCUAUUAAACCAUAAACACAUGUUAUUGAGUGUUUUGGGUGAUUCAAACAUAGAUUUGCAUGAUAAGAAAGACUAACAACAAGCUAGGAUAGAUUACUUACCAAAUUAAAGCUUGAAAGGGGUUUUUGGAUCAAACUUGAGUUUUGAGAGAGUGAGAGAGAUAGAGAGUAGUGAGAGAAAGUGUUUUAAGAGAGAGAAAAAGCCUCAAAAUGAUGUCACUAAAUCCCUUAUAUAGGGGUUGAGUUUAUGGCCCAGAGAAAUUCUACUCGAUACCGACGUUAAACAGAGCUUUUGGUCGUACCCGAUUAAUUUGCUGUAACUCAACGUGGUCGUAACUAAUAAUUUUCUAAAUAAUAAUUUGGGAUGUUUUCAUGAGUUAACGUGUUUGGAUACCAAUUAAGUCAUAAUAGAAGUCUCAAAAAUAUUGACUUAAUUUAAAAGCUUAAACGGAAACAAUUCGAAAAAGAUGAAUUUUAUGGACGGAAACGGGUUACGGCGAUGGAGCGAACUUCGGGCUCUCACAUGAUCCCCCCGUUAGAGGGAAUUUCGUCCCGAAAUUCAAACUUUAGAUGCGACUCGCGGAUUUGGAAAGAGAUUACGGAUACUUCUGUUUCAUCGGAAUACGCACUCCCAAGUGAAUUCAGAUCCUCGCAUGACAUUCCAGGGAACCUUUCACUUAUCGGGAUACGGCUUGUUUCACACGUUUAAUCUCUUGAUCUAUGAUUUCGAUUGGUUCUACUAUGAGGUUCAGAAUUUUGUUGAUUUCGGUCUCAUCGAAGGGAUUACGAGGGUUUCGCCGAAUAUGUACUUCUUAAGGAUAGAGACGUGGAAUACCGAAUGGAUGGUGCUACGUUCUGUGGGUAGUCGGAGUUUGUAGGCUACGGAUCGAUCCUAUUGAGGAUUUCAAAAAAUUCUAUGUACCUCGAGAUACGCGUUUCAGAAUCUAACAUGCCUUCUUUCUCACCAUUAGCUAUCUUCAUGGUAAACAUUUCAGUUACUAGUUCAGGACUAUGUUUGUGAAGAUGUUCGAAUGAAUAGCUAACAGAUUAUCUUUUAGUACUAGAAUUGAAAAGGAUUGCAAGCAUAAGGGUUAUCGAAGAGGAAUAUACCUGUGGCAACAGUGGGAUCGGCGGCUGCCUCACCUUGUCCUAUAGCUAGGACUCUUUCAGUGUUGCCAGUUGUUGUUGUCUUGGGGAAGUUUCUCUUAUAAUGCCCGACUUUGCCGCAACCGUUGCAGGCCUGACUGAUACCUGCUUCGGAGACUUGAUUGGUUGGUGUUCUACACCUUCACGCAAGGUGACCCUCUUGGCCAUAAUUUUUGCCAAAUUUCACACGACAGGGACCGGGGAUGUGGUGGUGGUAACUGCAUCGGUUACACCACGGGAGAAUAUCGUCAUAUCCGGUGAUAGGUGCUUGGGUUGAGGAACCGACGAUAGAAACAGCAACAGGGGUAGUGGCAGCGUGGACUGCCACUAUCUGCUGUUUCUUCGAGAACUCUUUUGAAGGCUGACUUUUCUCCUUCGUCUCCCAAUAUUAUCUUUUCUCACCACUUCUCUCUGUCGGCUCAGGAGUGGUGGCUGCUUCCUCUAUGUCCUCAGUAUGGUUGAUCAGGAUUUGCGCUAAGCAUUUGGUGCUGUCGUAUGUAUCCGGCAUCGCAGCUAAAACAUUCCAUUUGGUUGGCUGGGUCAACCCCAAGAUAAACUUCUCAAUCUUCUUACUCUCUAGGGUAACCAUCCCCGGACAAAGAAGCACCAAGUCGUCAAACCUUGAAGUGUAAGCGGCGAUAUCAGAACCCUUCAUCUUCAGGUUCCAGAGUUCAUGCUCCAGCUUCUGAAUUUCACCCCGAGGGCAGUACUCCGCGAACAGAAGUUCCUUCAUGACUUCCCAACCCAUAGCAUUGGCUACAGGUAGGGUUAAGGAUUUGACUCGGUUGUUCCACCAAGUCAGAGCUUUAUCGGUGAACAUGCAGGCGGCGAAUUUCACCUUGUCGGAAUUUGAACAAGCAUAGAUCUCGAAGAUAGAUUCGAUUUUUUCUAACCACCGAGUUAGGGCAAUGACACCUCCUAUGCCAUCGAAGAAUGUGGGGUUCGCGUUCAUAAAGUCCUUAUAGGAACACUCCUUCCGGUGUCCCUGGCUACCUUCUUGAUUUUGGGGCUGGGGACCACCUCCUGGACCACCGGGGUUCANUGCCACUGCGGCAGCAACAGCUGCCUGGAACAAUACGAGAUCAAAUUGGGGGAGGAGGUGGUGGCGGAGGGUUGUUGUUGUUCUUUGAGUUGGGUCUCUCACUUGGAGGCAUCUUGAUCUAAAAAGAUCAAGAAAGAGAGGAUGGUAAGUCCUCUGAAUUCAAUUAAGAGAUAUGGAACUAGGGAUACCUCUUUAUGACAGACAUAUAAUUCUAUUAAGCGAUANNNNNNNNNNNNNNNNNNNNNNNNNNNNNNNNNNNNNNNNNNNNNNNNNNNNNNNNNNNNNNNNNNNNNNNNNNNNNNNNNNNNNNNACGCUGGGAUGAGAAUUUCUAUAACGGAUUUGGCUCGAGAAAUACUCCCAUAGUAUUUCAUGUCUCGCUGCAACGACGGCUCGUUGUUUGGGUAUUGGGUAUGUUUUAGGCAUGUCGUAUACCGCAGUCACUCCCAAGUACAUGUUGGCUGUGUCUCGAAUGAAUAUAGUUGGCCAGGCUAUAUUGAUCGUAGACACGACUACAUAACUGCCUUGGUUUAACCGUAGUGUACAACACGCAUUUACUUAUGUUUUGUUCUACUUGUAGUUACGGAUUUCGACGGUUAGGUAUACUUGUAUACUUAUGGAAAUACUUAUAUUUUAAAGUAUACUUUUAGUUCAGAGCACUUAUUCCCCUUAGUGUUUAUAGUCUUAUACCAUGUAACAUUUGGUAUACUAGUUCACUGUAAACAAGGGCUCUGAUACCAAUCUGUCAUACCUCGAAACCGAAGGCGGAAACGUUCCGGGGCGGAGGACGUCAUGAAUAUUGCAACCAAUGUACAUAGUAAGCGUAGUAAACACAAAGCAUUACAUUACAUAGAAUUAUUACAUUUGUUUGAAAUCAAAGCGUUACAAGUGUUAUACACAUAUAUCAUAAGAACAAAAGAUAAGACGGGUCUUCUAUGUACUCAUGGAAGCUCAUGGAAGCCUUUGGAGGUGUUUAAGGGCAAUUUAACACCUUAAAAAGGUGUUUAUGGUCCAUGAAUGAGGGUUUACGGUCCAAGAAUGUUCUUGGGCCGUAAACUCAUGUCCAUACCUCAAUUGGUGAGAUUUUGGGGUCCUAAGCUCAUGCAUGCAAGUUUCUAAGCCAUAUCUAAGCACUAGGAGUGAUUUGGAAGGGUUUUGGGGCUUCAAAACCCUCUUUAGGAGUGUUCACGGUUUUGGAAGGGUUCUUAAACCAUAAACACAUGUUCUUGAGUGUUUUGGGUGAUUCAAAUAUAGAUUUGCAUGAUAAGAAAGAUUAACAACAAGCUAGGAUAGAUUACUUACCAAAUUGAAGCUUGAAAGGGGGUUUUUGGAUCAAACUCGAGUCUUGAGAGAGAGAGAGAGUAGUGAGAGAAAGUGUUUUAAGAGAGAGAAAAAGCCUCAAAAUGAUGUCACUCAAUCCCUUAUAUAGGGGUUGAGUUUAUGGCCCGGAGAAAUUCUACUCGAUACCGACGUUAAACGGAGCUUUUGGUCGUACCCGAUUAAUUUGUCGUAAGUCAACGUGCUCGUAACUAAUAAUUUUCUAAAUAAUAAUUUGGGAUGUUUUCAUGAGUUUCUAACGUGUUUGGAUACCAAUUAAGUUAUAAUAGAGGUCUCAAAAAUAAUGACUUAAUUUAAAAGCUUAAACGAAAACAAUUCGAAAAAGAUAAAUUUUAUGGACGGAAACGGGUUACGGCGAUGGAGCGAACUUCGGGUUGUCACACCCUUUGAAAUACGAUCAUGUACUUAUUAAGAAGCAAUGAAAGGAAUCUUUUAUAUAUAAGGCUUGUAAAGGUGGCUUUCUCUUCAAUUGAAGUUUCGGUUCUUGAUAUAAGACCGAAAGAGAAUGAAUUACCUGUGAGACCAAUGUGGCCUGUUGAAUAAGUAGGUUACACACACAUUCAGUGACUUGUUGAAAAUCCAAUAAGAAAUAUCAAAAAAAAAAUCUAGAUCCUUGGGGAAAAAGAGUCAUGGGGAUAGACAAUUUCAAAAGGAUCUCUCAAAAUAAAAGGAGAUUUCAUGGUAACUCCACAUAGAGUGGUUUCGUUAAUUCAUUGGUGAAAACCGAAACAUAUUAAUUGUUCACCGUCAAUUCAUUAUGGGUAUAGAAUUUUGGGUUUCACUUAGUACGUAGUAACACGAGACUAAGAUCAUAAACACAGAUGUUGUGUAACCAUAAACCUCAGUGGCAAUUGAUGAGUGUCUUAAGGGUUACGUUAAUGAUAUGAAGUGAGAUGGAGAAAAAUGGUGUAGGUGGUUAAGUAACCAAAUGUACCUCUGCUAUAAAAGUAUGACCAAGUAGAAAACUCUAAGCUUAAUGUGAGAAGAGUAAGUUAGCUCAUGAAUAGAGUGAAUUUAACAUCCUAAUUGGGAAAACAUGAUUUGUAUAUAUCACAUCAUUAAGGCUUCACUCAAAAUCUAUACAGGCUUCGGUCGACAUGAAGCAACAAGCUUCCAGGGACACUUAACUGAUACAUAGAGAAAUUUAUACCUGCUCCAGCUCCAUCAUCGAGAAUAGCUUUUAAACAUGAAAUCAUGAGAAAUAUGAAACAAAAUAUUUUUGUAUUUUAUGUAAAACUUCUAAAGAAAAAGAAAACAAAAAGAAAACUAUUUUUGGAUUUUAUGAAAAUAAAAAAAUGAAAAGAAAAACAUAAAAAUGAGUAUGUAAAAGAGUGUACAAAAGUAUACAACCAAAAUUCCUUUUAAAGAAAAUAAAGUGAACCGAGUUCAGUAGGACCGAACCCAAAAUAGACCGAGUGUUCGGUUCAUUUCAGUUCCCGGGUGAACCGAACCCGAAAUAGACCGAGCGUUCGCUCUAUUUCCCUUUCAACCUUUAAUGAAGCGAAGCCGAUUUCGGUACUGAUGCAGCUUCCAUCAUUCCUAGGCCUUGUAGGAUCUUAUUGAAACUUGGUUUAGGUAAGGCCUUAGUAAAGAUAUCUGCUAAUUGAUCAGUGGUUCUAACUGUUGGGUUUUGAGCAUUCUAACACUCCUAUGUGUACAUGCAACCCUAAAUACCUUAGAUCUAUGUUUUCCCUAUUAUACAUGCAAAUAAGAACUUCCAAGGUAUUAUCCUAAUCUAGCAUACAAAACAACAAAUAUAACAAGAUAGAAUACAUACCUCUUUGAUGUAGAAAGUCUUCAUGAAGCUUGAGUGCCUAGUGCCCCAAGUGUGACACCUCAAAUGGUUCACACAACACCAAAUACAAAUGGAAUAACUUGAGAGAAUUCUACACUUCAUGAAAAUCAGCUAGCCCUUUCUUACUCUCUCUAGUGGCCGAUUUUGUUCAAGAAUAAGAUGCAUAUAUAGUUAGGGUUACACCAUGUAAACCCUAAUUGAGAUGGCCUUUCAUUUCUAUGAUCCAUGGGUACAAAUACACCAUGGAGCAUCAUAUGGGUUUUAUGUUAGUUUUUGAGCAAUCUAACACUUCCUAAGUGUGCAUGCAACCCUAAUAAACCUUGGAUCGAUGUUUGUCUAAAUACAUGAAAAAUAAUAAUUUUCCACGGUUCAUAACCUUUCUAACAUGGUAUGGGGUACUUUUAAACAUAAAAGAGUUAGAAGAGAUUAUAUACCUUUUUGAUGAGUUUGAUUCUUAUGGAGUUUGAGGGCCAAGCACCAAUAAUGUGAAUGCCUCAAAUGGAAUCACAAAUCACCACAAACACUUGGAAAACUCUAGAGAGUGUACACACACUUGCAAUUUUCGGCCACACACAAGCACACACACUAGUGGCUAUUUCAUGCAACAUAAGCAUGCUUAUAUAGUGUACAUGGUUAGGGUGAAACCCUAAUAACCCAUGACCUUUCCUUUUCCAAGGAUCCAUGGGUUAAAAGCUCCAUGGAUCAUCCAUGGACUUCCAUACAAGCCUAGCCCAUUAACAAAUGAGUAUUAGCCCACACUAUAUAAAACCAAUAGCCCACAAUCUAAUUAGUCUUCCUUUUAAUCUCUAAAUUAAUUCAUAAUUAAUUUAAGACNCUAGUGGCCGAUUUUUCCUCAAUAAUAAGAUGCUUAUAUAGUUACACAAUUAGGGUAAACUCUUAAUUGUCAUGGCUUUCCAUUUCCUUGGAUCCAUGGGUACAAAUACACCAUGGAGCAUCCAUGGACCAUCCUAUGGGUUUUAGCCCAACUUGAUUAUCCAUGGAGCAUUAGCCCACUAUACAAGUAUGGAUGAUUUACACAAUCAACCCAUAUAUUUAAUUAGUCUUCUUUUGAUCACUUAAUUAAUCCUAGAUUAAUUCUUGAUCAAUACUAAUUAAAUAAUCUUAUUAUUCUUAUUAUUAAUAUACUAGAACUUAUAAUAUAUUAAUAACCAUAAGUGUCUUAUUUCUCUCAUUAUAGUCUAUCCAAGUGCAUGAUGCCAUGCAACCCAAAUGGACCAUGUCGGGUCGGGUCAAGUCUUACCAAUUAUAGUUAUACACUUAGACAUUAAUCCAACAGUCACCCACUUGGAUUAGUCUAAAACUAUUAUUGCGUAUGACUUCAGGAACCGACUGGCAAUCGUAGCUCUCAAAAGCUUCUGUCGAACUCUGACCUUGUCGAUGAACUCUGACCUUUGUCAAUGACUUGUCCAUUAGAUAAGGGAUCAUAUAUUCCUCCAUUCUAGAUAUCAUAUGGACUGAGACAUGGAUUAUAAUCAUUCUCUCUGUCCAUUUGUUGUUUCCCGAUUUCCGAUUUAUGACGACUGACUAAUUGAACAAAUCAAAUCAGUCCUGGCCCGGCCGAGCACUUCCAUUUGUCAUCAUCAAAUCAUCGAGGGGCCCACAGAUAUCGCUUUUAUCCCGAAGGUAAAAGGAAUGGAUAAACUUCGACUCAUAUGGCUUGUUCUACUACUUGUUGAAUCAUACACAAAGGCACGUUUUAUAGCACCGAGUUACCAAAUGCGUUUUCGUGCAAUCAAUGUACUAUCAACUCAUAGUAACAACUCAUAUCUCUAGGUUUGAAGAAUAUAAGAUAUUAUCGUCUCAUGAUCACUCGUGAUAAAAUCCAUGAAGUGAUUCCAAUGAGCGCGGGUUGAAUCCAAUACUCAGAACUUAUGAGCACUCAUGAGUGUUGUAGCCCUUUGUCCAACACCUUAGACCUCUACAAGCCAACCCAUGACAGUCUUAAUUCAUAUCUACUUCCAACAUAUGACCGACUGUGGAUGGUUUGAAUAACUUAGUCAUUCCGGAAGAAUAACCUAGUUUAUUCGGGAAGUCAAAACAUGCAAAGUGAAACACAAUAAUAAUUGAAUCCAAUAUGGUAUCAAAACUUUGAACAUAAAUAAAACACCUUUUAUUUAUCACCAUAUGAUUACACAUUAUUCAUUGUAUACUGUUUCAGCUAUCAACUUUAUUCUUGAAUUUAAAACAAUAGUUGUCCCAUGCUCCAAGCAUGUACACUAUGUUUUCUUAAACACUAGUCAUGCCACACACCAAGUAUGCAUACUAUGUUUGUCUAUGAUCUUUACUUUGUGAACUAGAUCAAUUGAACAUAACUUCAAUGAUUCUCUUUUCACACUCCCAAAUCCUUACUGCAAAUGCAAGAAUUCCAAAUUCAUGCCAUUUACUGAAAUCUGUUAGAUUCUAAACUUAUAUGCAUUGAUCCUCUUGUAAUGAUUAUGCACAAAGUCAGAAAGACUUGACAACAAUCAUUACAGAGUAUUCCAAAGGAGAUCAGCUCCUUGGAAACAUCCUUCUUGCAUUAAGUUUCCUAAUCUUAAACAGAUUGAAAAUUCUAACUUUGAAACAUUUCCAGAUUCCAUUUUGACUAUCACUUCUGAACAAGAGUUGCCUCCUUACAGAUUAUGUCAAUAUGGUCCUUCCAGAAUUAUCACUAUACUUCCAACUGUCCUUGAGCAACCAAUCUUUGGUAAACCUUAGAUUGUCCUCGACAAUUGUUUAAUCCUUUUAGUCAUAUCCAGUUCUAAACCUUUUCCCUUCUUAAUGCCCCAGGCAUUUGGAAAAUUUUAGAACGGAUGAAUAUAGCACAUGUAAUCGAUCCUAUAUCCGAAGCAUAUGGGACACGAUUCAUGAUGUCUCACAUAAAGACUAAACCAGUCUUUUGCUAUAACAUUUCCAUUUCAAUUUGCCAAGUUCUCAUAAUUCAGAUUAUGAAAAGGGAUGCCGUAAUCAUAAUCGAAUUUUAGAACGCAAAUAAUGGACCCAUAUACAGAAUUUCCUUAUGUUGAGCCAUUCCAACAUGAAAUUCAUAUAUAUCCUUGACUAAAUGAUUAAAACCUCACGAUCUAAGCUUAUAGAUUUGAGAUGAAGUAUAAUUUCCUCUCCCUUAAUUAUAGCAAAACAACUUUUUCCCAAUUGAAACUUUUGUUUUCUAUAAUUAACAUUGCUAACUUGCAAUACUUAUCAUAAUUAUCAUGCUCCCACUAACAUGAUGAUUAUUAGCAUAACACUUAUGCUCCCACUAGCUUUGACAUGUACUCAGAAAUCAGCUGGACUUCUAGAAAUCAAUACUUCAUUGACUUUCUUACCAAAGUUCAGAUUUCUGAUGCUAGAUUGUUUUGAUAAAACUUUAUCAAAAUCAUACACCUUCCCUUAGAUAGCACACUUGUGUGUCUAAACAAUUAUGAAGAGGUAUGCCGUAAUCAUAAUGGUUAGACCUUUUUGCCACUUCUCACAAGUCCAGGUUAGUGUGCCGGUAAACCACACACGCUCCACUAACGACUUUGAGAAUGCAAAUAUCACAAUUGCUAUCUAGCUAAAAUCUACUUAGUGAAAGUGUUUCCUCACCAUCAUUUUCAUGAAUCGGAGAGAAACCUUAUGACACUUAGAUUUAAUGGUGUAUGUGUUCUUAUCCAUGUGAAUUGUCAAAACCAUAGUCACAAGACAAGGAUAAUGACAAAUCCAAACUCAUAUGGACUGAACUCAAUCUUAAUUUCUUGCCACCUGGCAGCUCAAGGGCCUGCCAUUGCUUCCAAGUUGUUGUGCAACAAAUUGAGAACUCUAAGAACUCAUAUGCAAAGCCAACUUUAACUGGAAUGGGCACAGAAUAUGUCAACACGAUAGGUUAUGAACCUCAAGUCGUGUGCUAGUGAAGAACUUCAGGUUUUAUUCUUGAUUAGUUCUUGAGACUUUCAAGACCUUUAAGACUCCCACUGUCCUCUUGACAUAUAAGACUCCCUUGUCAAACAUCCAAGAGAUAGUGCGGAUUCUAAUCAAGAAAAACACUUUACCCAAUUGGCCUAAGUUGGUCUUUGUUUUAUCCAAAACAUCACAACUUACCAAUUUCAAAUGUACAAGAGUAGAAAACUUUUACUCUUACAUUUGACAAGUGUUUUAAACCUUCUUUAAGACAUGUCACUCAAAUGACAAUCUUGGAGUAUGACUCUAAGACUUGUAUUGGAACGAAGUAUGACUCAUCUUCUUGAUUUAACCAUUUCAACAAUUCAAGUUCCUCUUCUUAGUCAUAAGAAUGCACUAAGAUUUCCUUAGAGAACUAAUUUUGAUAUGGUUUCUUAAUCAUUAAGAUGAUCACAAAACUGAUACUAAAGUACUCUCCCAUCUUUUCAGAUUUGAGAAACUUUUAUCCUUCUGCCUAAUUUGAUUCUUCUUAUUCGCCCUGCCAUACAUUGGAACCUUUUCCAAUGUCUCAGAGUUACACUUAAGCUUGUAAGUAUAAUCAUAUUUACUGAGCUUUAGUAAACUAUGACGAAUAGUCUUAUCAAUCUUUUGUGGUGGACUUAAUCAGUGCACAAGAAUGUGUACUCGAUCCCUUAGUCCUUUACUUGACUCACACAUCCAUGUGGCCGAGUAAUUAGUCUUAAUUUUCCAAAACUUGAAAGUUCUCAUUCAUCAUGCUAUACAACUUGCAUGAUUCCAAGUUCCGGUCCAAUUGAAACUUGGGUGAUGAGAAUCUUUCCUUAUUUGGUAAAUCUAGACAUUACCACAAAUGAAAGAAUCAAUUUCAUAUUUCCACUCUUGCUCUUAAUGGAAUCAUAUAAGCAACAAUUUUUCCUCAAAAGCCAUUGUAAGGAUAUUUUAAAAUAAAUAAAAUCAAAAAAUUUUUCUUUUAUUUUAAAACUUUGCGGAAAAACUUAUCCUUACAAUCCAUAUGAAAACUUGUUGUUAUCUAUUCCUAAGCAAUAUCUCAUAACUCCUAAGAAGUUGCUCAAGAAUCCGAUCUUCAAACUAUGCGAUAGAAAUCCAUCUACGCCAUCAGAUUCAGCAUAUUCUUUCUUUAAGUUUCUUCACUUUUCUUUGAUUCUUAAAACAUCACCAUGUGACCCAGUCACAUCAUGUAUCAGGAAUCUCAGAAUAGAAACUUAACAGAGUUAGAUAGUGGACUUUACCUGAAGUAGAGUCAAACUUAUUGACUUUAACAUCCUUAGGUAAAUUUGGCAGCUUCGCAACCAAUGCCCCUUCCUUUGGCAAUAUAAACAUAUGGACCCUUUGAUAAUGGUACACGAGACUAUCACAGACUUAGCUUUUCUCUUUACCAUUUGGUCAACCGAGUUGACUAUGGCCGAUCCCUUUCCAUUGGGAAGAGAAUGCUUUACUGGAUAUCCAAUGUCAUCAUUGUCAAUGUCCAUAAAGUUUUAGGAAGUUGAUCUUAGCAAAUAGAUAAGAUCAUUAAGGGUCUUGUCAUAGUCUGUUUCAUAGGUGUCCCAAAGGAACUCACUAUGUGACUUAGAAAGUGAUUGAACCACCAACUUUCUCAAGACUUUGACACCCAACUCUCCCGGCUUGUCAAUAUGUGACUACAUCUCCAAGAUGUGAUCACACCUAGACCUUGCCUUGCCAAUAGGGCUUGAGUGACCUUAAACUUUUCAAGAACUUGUGGGUUAGGGAGAAUAAUUGGAGGAGGAGAAAGAAGUAUGAUAUCCAUGGGACAUCAUCUUCAUUAGGAAACCUUGUUUCAAGAGAUUUGGGAAGAUCAUAGGUGUCUAAACCAGACAUCUUUUGGGAGAUAUUCAAGAUAGUUGAUUUAAAGUCCUUAAUAUGACACCCAAUAUGAAAUAUUAAGGCUAGGACCCAACAAACUAUUUUAUAACUUAGAAGAGGUAUGCCGUAAUCCAAGCUAUAAAAUAUUUGAAGGUAGGUGAAUGACGAUUCACCAAUUUCCACCAAGAUAAACGAAAUGUAUUAUUAGGUUUUAAUUGGUUUUGAAACUCCUAGAUCUUUGAGAUUCAUUGAACUGUUCAAAGGCAUGUUUCAAUCUCGAGUGUGCCCUUCAGGUUUUGUGACUGGGAUGCCGAGGAUCACAAAACAAGGUGUGAAGUAACCAUGCAAAUCACUUGGUACCCUUAAUAAAUUACCCCUCAAUCGAUGUGCCGGUUAACCACACACGCUCCAUCGAUACUAUGAUAAAUAUUAAGUCACCCUUUACCUACCUUGUUAAGUCCAAGUUAGUGUGCCGGUUAACCACACACGCUCCACUAACGACUUAGACAAAGUGUAAAGUGUAAUUUCAUGGAUUAGCACCUUAUUCACAUUUUUCCUAAGUAACUAAGAUUGGGUAUUAUUAAGAGUUUAGUUACUUAGUAUUAUCAUUAAUACUUUUAAUGAAGGGAGAAUUCUAGUCCUGUCAAACCCGUUCGGCUAACGACCCUCCACCAGUCAAGCAAGCGGUGGGUGAGAGUGGACACCCAUUAAGUUGCCAUUUUAUAGGCAACAACCUUAUACCCACCUUAUAGACCGGCUUCGUGAAUGAGGCGUACUAGCGGUAAGACUGACUUUACUCUUAUACAUAUAUAUAUUAUUAACUUAUAAUAUUAUAAAGUAUAAGGGUUGAAUUUUAACUUUUAAAAUUCUAAGGGCUAACUUGGAAUUAAAGUAUUCAUAAGAGAAAACUUUACAAAUUCCAAAACUUGAGGGCAAGUUUUGAAACUAUUCAAAACUAAUUAAUUCCAUAACUUAUGUGUUUAAAGUAGUUUUAAUCCAAAAACUCUUCAAGUUCCAUAACUUGAGGACAAGUUAUGGAAGACUUUAAACUAAUAAAAGAAUUAACUUUUCUUUAUUUUAUAACUUAUGGAAUUAAUUAAGGUUACAUAUUUUAUUACUUAAUGAAGUGACUCUUGAACCUCCAUAACUUAAGGACAAGACUCUUCAUCUUUUGUAACCAUUGCCAACUUUUAUGAGUUUUAUGAAACUUAAAUGUGACUUUUCAUAUAACUUGAGGACAAGUUACAAAAACACAUUUUAGAAUCAACUUUUAGAUUAAUUUGGAUUGAAAACAACUAUUUCACUCAACUUUUCUAUUAAUCUAAGCAACUCAUAAGAACAAGAUAAUUCAAAUCAAACUUUUUCAUGUAAUUAGUCUAAACCUUAAACUAAUACAAAACAUGAAUCUAUUGACA